RNAcentral lists this long non-coding RNA (856 nucleotides) under Gallus gallus (chicken). The record is from RNAcentral. Lineage: Eukaryota; Metazoa; Chordata; Aves; Galliformes; Phasianidae.
UGUGUAGCACUGGUCUGUCACAGUGAUAAGCAGCUUGUCCCACGCUCCUCUAUAAUGUUUGAUAAACUCCUUAUGAUACAGACUGUCAUCUUUGAAAUUACAGAAGUGAAUGUGGAAUGGAUCCACCGAUCUUCGAUUGCAACCUUCACUUAAUACUAUUUGUCUCACUGCAUUUGCUACUUCUCUGACAGACAUAUACCUUUCGUACGACAUAUCAAACACUAGAGGCUGGCCAAAGAUCAUAGACUGAGCAACUCUCCAGUUGUAUGUUUUAUCCAUAACGCUGCUCCACAAACAAACAAAUGGAUUCUUCUUGGGCUCUUGAGUCUCUGAAGCUCUCUCUUGUGUUUCCAGCCUCCUUUCCCUUUUCUCAUCCAUCUUUCUUUUGCUAUUUUUCUUGUACAGUUCUUUAAGAUGCAAAUAUUUUAAAUACUUCUUUUUGGCCGAUUUGGAAGGACAUUCCAUAAAAGCUUUUAGCUGUUCUUCACUGAUGUUUUCAGGAACUGGCCGACCAACUAGCCUCCACAACUCCAAAGUCUCACGUGCAGCAGCCAAAGUGGAAAGCUCCUUAGGCUCAGAGACCGUCUGGCUGACUUCUUGCAACCCAGACUUCAUUACUUCCUUCCAUGCAUCUAAAUCUACUUUUUCUGAAGAGCUGCGUGAAUUGUCCUCUUUCAGGCAAGGUGACAGAAUCAGAGUUCUACUAAGUGGAAACAAAUCCUGUUUCAUCCCACGUUGUAUUGGAAAUGAGAAGGCAGAACAUCUUACGAUUUUUUUCAGAAGCAUAUUAGCAGCCUGCAUACUUGAACAUGUGCUGUGCUCAAACAAUCCUCUGCCCGCACUGCGGUCCCGCGCG